Molecule: transfer RNA, 63 nt
Filed under: Candidatus Faecalibacterium faecipullorum
Lineage: Bacteria; Bacillati; Bacillota; Clostridia; Eubacteriales; Oscillospiraceae
Rfam family: tRNA
About the family: Transfer RNA (tRNA) molecules are approximately 80 nucleotides in length. Their secondary structure includes four short double-helical elements and three loops (D, anti-codon, and T loops). Further hydrogen bonds mediate the characteristic L-shaped molecular structure. tRNAs have two regions of fundamental functional importance: the anti-codon, which is responsible for specific mRNA codon recognition, and the 3' end, to which the tRNAs corresponding amino acid is attached (by aminoacyl-tRNA synthetases). tRNAs cope with the degeneracy of the genetic code in two manners: having more than one tRNA (with a specific anti-codon) for a particular amino acid; and 'wobble' base-pairing, i.e. permitting non-standard base-pairing at the 3rd anti-codon position.
Source: RNAcentral
CAUAGCGUAGCCGGUUAACGCGCCAGAUUGUGGAUCUGGAGAUCGAGGGUUCGAGUCCCUCUG